This 1207-nucleotide long non-coding RNA is filed under the name Felis catus (domestic cat). Its description in RNAcentral is "lncRNA (ENSFCAG00000051080.1)". The record is from RNAcentral. Lineage: Eukaryota; Metazoa; Chordata; Mammalia; Carnivora; Felidae.
GUCGGAGGCCCCAAACCUCAGCCCGUGACCCCUCAUUGGAGCCUGUCUGCCUAGAACUUCUUCACCCCAUUCCUGUUCGGGGACAUGAAAGAGGAAAGAGGAAAAGAAAUCAAAACGACACAUGUUCCGGAAAGGCCAGAUUAAACCCCACAGGGGUAGCGUGGGCCAGGACAAGAAGGAAUUUCCGUGACCUUGGAGCCCAUGGACUCAAAUGUCUGACCCAUUUUUUUCCAAGGCUCUUCGCUCCGUGUGCUCACUGGCAUUGCCAAUCUACUUCUGGACCACUGUCCCCAACCCAGGACAUGACAUCAGAUUCCUACCGGACGCAGAGGCUCGUGACUCACCACGACCCAACAGUACUACAUUUGCCAUGUGGAGCGUAAGCCAUUUCCAGUCCUCUGAAAGGAUAAGCAGGAGUGCCCCCAGUGAGGAAGCAAGGCACCGGAUACAACAAGGACCUGGGCGGAGGGACAGAAGGCAAAGACUGGCCACUACUCACAGAAGAGCAGAGCUUCACUAGAAAAAGGGCAAGGGAUUCUGAGUGGAGAGGGGGCUGUAGGCGAAUAUGGACACACUGGGGCUACGUUUAGGUCAUGAGGAAUCUCAAAAGGCACCGUGGGAGUUGAUUUCUUCUUUCUACUUACGUUUUAGGAAACCCUUUGUUGAGCCCGGGUGGCUCAGUUGGCUAAGCGUCGGACUCUUGAUUUCCGCUCCGCUCAUGAUCUUACUGUUUGUGAGUUCGAGGCCCACGUCGACCGCGUGAAGCCUGCUUGGGAUUCUGUCCCCCUCGCUUUCUGCCCCUCCCCCACUUGCUCUCUCUCUAUCUCUCUCAAAACAAAUAACAAUUAGAAAAAGAAAACCUUUUGUGGUAGCCGUUUGAAUGCUGGCUUAAAAGGCAAGGAAAGGGCCCGGAAUUGGGAGCAAGGAGAGACUGCCUAAAGGCUGUUGAAAAAAAAUCUGUGAGCAGUAACAGCUAUCUAGCCCGAGACACUGGGGUAGGGAUGAAACAGAAGAGAAAAUAGAUCUAAUCUAAAGGUGCAAAAUUUGCAGUUCUUGGCUAUCGAAUUGUAUGUAGAGUUAAGAGGAAGGGGAGGGCCAGACAAUGGGUAGCUUCCGCCCUCCAACCACUGGGGAGACAGACGGAGAAGUGUAAUCAAGCCAAAAUGCCUAACGUCCUGAUUUGAAUAAAAUCUUGAAAAUCUGUGCA